AGUGAACGCUGGCGGUAGGCCUAACACAUGCAAGUCGAACGGCAGCACAGUAAGAGCUUGCUCUUACGGGUGGCGAGUGGCGGACGGGUGAGGGAUACAUCGGAAUCUACUUUUUCGUGGGGGAUAACGUAGGGAAACUUACGCUAAUACCGCAUACGACCUACGGGUGAAAGCAGGGGAUCUUCGGACCUUGCGCGAUUGAAUGAGCCGAUGUCGGAUUAGCUAGUUGGCGGGGUAAAGGCCCACCAAGGCGACGAUCCGUAGCUGGUCUGAGAGGAUGAUCAGACACACUGGAACUGAGACACGGUCCAGACUCCUACGGGAGGCAGCAGUGGGGAAUAUUGGACAAUGGGCGCAAGCCUGAUCCAGCCAUACCGCGUGGGUGAAGAAGGCCUUCGGGUUGUAAAGCCCUUUUGUUGGGAAAGAAAAGCAGCAGGUUAAUACCCCGCUGUUCUGACGGUACCCAAAGAAUAAGCACCGGCUAACUUCGUG
RNAcentral lists this ribosomal RNA (492 nucleotides) under uncultured bacterium. RNAcentral's name for it is "partial 16S ribosomal RNA". It matches the Rfam family "Bacterial small subunit ribosomal RNA", at positions 29 to 507 of the family's 1533-position model. The record is from RNAcentral.